Molecule: ribosomal RNA, 253 nt
Filed under: uncultured bacterium
Lineage: Bacteria
Description: partial 16S ribosomal RNA
Rfam family: Bacterial small subunit ribosomal RNA
Source: RNAcentral
GACGGGGGAUGCAAGCGUUAUCCGGAAUCACUGGGCGUAAAGCGUCUGUAGGUGGUGAUGCAAGUCACUGGUGCAAAACUCUGGCUCAACCGGAGGAAAGCCAGUGAAACUGCAUGACUAGAGUGUGGGAGAGGUAGAAGGAAUUCCCUGAGUAGCGGUGAAAUGCGUAGAUACAGGGAAGAACACCGGAGGCGAAAGCGCUCUACGGGAACACAAUUGACACUGAGAGACGAAAGCUAGGGGAGCGAAUGGG